GGUUCCAUAGUGUAGCGGUUAGCAUGUCUGCUUUACAUGCAGAAGGUCCUGGGUUCGUGCCCCAGUGGAGCCA
This 73-nucleotide transfer RNA is filed under the name Pteropus alecto (black flying fox). It matches the Rfam family "tRNA". Rfam says of the family: Transfer RNA (tRNA) molecules are approximately 80 nucleotides in length. Their secondary structure includes four short double-helical elements and three loops (D, anti-codon, and T loops). The record is from Rfam by way of RNAcentral. RNAcentral also lists the same sequence under 1 other name. Lineage: Eukaryota; Metazoa; Chordata; Mammalia; Chiroptera; Pteropodidae.